RNAcentral lists this non-coding RNA (145 nucleotides) under Otolemur garnettii (small-eared galago). The record is from Rfam by way of RNAcentral. Lineage: Eukaryota; Metazoa; Chordata; Mammalia; Primates; Galagidae.
GCUGGGCAUUGUGGCGGGUGCCUGUAGUCCAAGCUACUGUGGAGGCUGGGGCAAGAGGAUCACUUGAGCCCAGAAGUUUGAGGUUGUUGUGAGCUGUGACACCAGGACACUCUAGUCUGGGCAACAGAGUGAGACUCUGUCUCAA